UACGUAGGGGGCAAGCGUUGUCCGGAUUUAUUGGGCGUAAAGAGCGUGUAGGCGGCCACACAGGUCUGCUGUGAAAACUCGAGGCUCAACCUCGAGCUGUCGGUGGAAACCGUGUGGCUAGAGUCCGGAAGAGGAGAGUGGAAUUCCCGGUGUAGUGGUGAAAUGCGCAGAUAUCGGGAAGAACACCCGUGGCGAAGGCGGCUCUCUGGGACGGUACUGACGCUGAGACGCGAAAGCGUGGGGAGCGAACAGG
This 253-nucleotide ribosomal RNA is filed under the name uncultured bacterium. RNAcentral describes it as "partial 16S ribosomal RNA". It matches the Rfam family "Bacterial small subunit ribosomal RNA", at positions 524 to 776 of the family's 1533-position model. The record is from RNAcentral.